UGGGGAAUUUUGGACAAUGGGCGAAAGCCUGAUCCAGCAAUGCCGCGUGUGUGAAGAAGGCCUUCGGGUUGUAAAGCACUUUUGUCCGGAAAGAAAUCCUUGGCUCUAAUACAGUCGGGGGAUGACGGUACCGGAAGAAUAAGCACCGGCUAACUACGUGCCAGCAGCCGCGGUAAUACGUAGGGUGCAAGCGUUAAUCGGAAUUACUGGGCGUAAAGCGUGCGCAGGCGGUUUGCUAAGACCGAUGUGAAAUCCCCGGGCUCAACCUGGGAACUGCAUUGGUGACUGGGCAGGCUAGAGUAUGGCAGAGGGGGGUAGAAUUCCACGUGUAGCAGUGAAAUGCGUAGAGAUGUGGAGGAAUACCGAUGGCGAAGGCAGCCCCCUGGGCCAAUACUGACGCUCAUGCACGAAAGCGUGGGGAGCAAACAGGAUUAGAUACCCUGGUAGUCCAGCGCCCUAAACGAUGUCAACUAGUUGUUGGGGAUUCAUUUCCUUAGUAACGUAGCUAACGCGUGAAGUUGACCGCCUGGGGAGUACGGUCGCAAGAUUAAAACUCAAAGGAAUUGAC
Molecule: ribosomal RNA, 568 nt
Filed under: uncultured bacterium
Lineage: Bacteria
Description: partial 16S ribosomal RNA
Rfam family: Bacterial small subunit ribosomal RNA
Source: RNAcentral